This is a non-coding RNA of Latescibacteria bacterium DG_63, 88 nucleotides long. The record is from Rfam. NCBI's taxonomy places the organism in Bacteria, Pseudomonadati, Candidatus Latescibacterota.
GGAGAGAUGUCCGAGUUGGCUGAAGGAGCACGAUUGGAAAUCGUGUGGUCAGGAAACUGGCUCGGGGGUUCGAAUCCCCCUCUCUCCG